GUUGAACGCUGGCGGCGUGCCUAAUACAUGCAAGUCGAGCGAACAGACGAGGAGCUUGCUCCUCUGAUGUUAGCGGCGGACGGGUUAGUAACACGUGGAUAACCUACCUAUGAGACUGGGAUAACCUCGUGAAACCGGACCUAAUAUCGGAUAAUAUAUUGAACGGCAUGGUUCACUAGUGAAAUACGGUUCUCCUGUCACGUAUAGAUGGAUCCGCGCCGCAUUAGCUAGUUGGUAAGGUAAAGGCUUACCAAGGCAACGAUGCGUAGCCGACCUGAGAGGGUGAUCGGCCACACUGGAACUGAGACACGGUCCAGACUCCUACGGGAGGCAGCAGUAGGGAAUCUGGCACAAUGGGCGAAAGCUUGACGGAGCAACGCCGCGUGAGUGAUGAAGGUCUUCGGAUCGUAAAACGCUGUUAUUAGGGAAGAACAGAUGUGUAAGUAUCUAUGCACGUAUUGACGGUACCUGAUCAGUAAGCCACGGCUAACUACGUG
Molecule: ribosomal RNA, 497 nt
Filed under: uncultured bacterium
Lineage: Bacteria
Description: partial 16S ribosomal RNA
Rfam family: Bacterial small subunit ribosomal RNA
Source: RNAcentral